RNAcentral lists this ribosomal RNA (442 nucleotides) under uncultured bacterium. RNAcentral describes it as "partial 16S ribosomal RNA". It matches the Rfam family "Bacterial small subunit ribosomal RNA", at positions 338 to 795 of the family's 1533-position model. The record is from RNAcentral.
CCUACGGGAGGCAGCAGUGGGGAAUGUUGCACAAUGGGCGAAAGCCUGAUGCAGCAACGCCGCGUGAAGGAAGAAGGCCUUCGGGUCGUAAACUUCUGUCCUUGGGGAAGAGCAGAAGACGGUACCUCUUGAAUAAGCCCCGGCUAACUACGUGCCAGCAGCCGCGGUAAUACGUAGGUGGCAAGCGUUGUCCGGAUUUACUGGGUGUAAAGGGCGUGUAGCCGGGCUGACAAGUCAGAUGUGAAAUCCCGUGGCUCAACCACGGAACUGCAUUUGAAACUGUCGGUCUUGAGUAUCGGAGAGGCAGGCGGAAUUCCUAGUGUAGCGGUGAAAUGCGUAGAUAUUAGGAGGAACACCAGUGGCGAAGGCGGCCUGCUGGACGACAACUGACGGUGAGGCGCGAAAGCGUGGGGAGCAAACAGGAUUAGAUACCCCAGUAGUC